Long non-coding RNA from Solanum lycopersicum (tomato), 438 nucleotides. RefSeq lists it as uncharacterized. The record is from RefSeq and is a predicted model, not a curated record. Lineage: Eukaryota; Viridiplantae; Streptophyta; Magnoliopsida; Solanales; Solanaceae.
CCCAAAAGAAAUCAAGUCUCCUCCCAAAUAUUCUCUCUCUAGAAAGCUUAAAAGAAGAAGAAAAAGAUUCAACAUAGGGUUUCAAGCUAAGAUUUCAAUUACUCCAUUGAAUAUAAGCAAUUGGACUUAAGGUAUGGUAGCUUUCAUCCAUGAAAUCUCUUAUAUUCAUGGAGUCCCCAAAAUUCCUCUAUUCCAAAAGGGUCCGACAGACAUGGUUCCCAUUUUAGUGGCUAGAUCUUGGACUUUGAUUCUUGCCCGACCUUGGUGAGUCCUCAUGGUUCGAAGACCAAUUACUUUCAUUUUAGUUUCUCUUUUGUAUUUCUUUUUUUGGACAAGAUGUAUGGGCUAGGCCUAAUUUCAUUUGAUUGUAAUAGAUGGCUAUGUUGAUUGGACAUGUGUUUAGACUUUCACUUUUCUAUAAAAUUGUUUUGGACUUAA